GAUCGGCACAGCUCCAACUGAUGCAGCUGCUUGGGGAAUGAAUCAUUGGACAGAAGAUCUUUCUCACUGUCUCUCCUCCUCUCUGUAUAUCUGACUUUGUAAUAAAAAUAAAAUAA
Ochotona curzoniae (black-lipped pika) is the source of this 116-nucleotide long non-coding RNA. RefSeq lists it as uncharacterized. The record is from RefSeq and is a predicted model, not a curated record. The transcript is spliced from 3 exons. Lineage: Eukaryota; Metazoa; Chordata; Mammalia; Lagomorpha; Ochotonidae.